AGAGUUUGAUCCUGGCUCAGAAUCAACGCUGGCGGCGUGCCUAACACAUGCAAGUCGAACGAGAAAGCGGGGGCAACCCUGUGAGUAAAGUGGCGACCGGGUGAGUAACACGUGACUAACCUACCCUCGAGUGGGGAAUAACCUCGGGAAACCGGGGCUAAUACCGCAUAAUGUCUUCGGACCAAAGAAGCAAUUCGCUGGAGGAGGGGGUCGCGGCCGAUUAGCUAGUUGGUGAGGUAACGGCCCACCAAGGCAAUGAUCGGUAGCCGGCCUGAGAGGGCGCACGGCCACACUGGAACUGAAACACGGUCCAGACUCCUACGGGAGGCAGCAGUGGGGAAUUUUGCGCAAUGGGGGAAACCCUGACGCAGCAACGCCGCGUGGAGGAUGAAGCCCCUUGGGGUGUAAACUCCUUUCGAUCGGGACGAUUAUGACGGUACCGGAUGAAGAAGCACCGGCUAACUCUGUGCCAGCAGCCGCGGUAAUACAGAGGGUGCAAGCGUUGUUCGGAAUUAUUGGGCGUAAAGGGCGCGUA
Molecule: ribosomal RNA, 535 nt
Filed under: uncultured bacterium
Lineage: Bacteria
Description: bacterial SSU rRNA
Rfam family: Bacterial small subunit ribosomal RNA
Source: RNAcentral